UUAACCUGUUACAGACGGCUAGCAUUAUUACCAGUAUUACUAUCGGGUCUACUACUUCCAUCUAUCAAAGAUUUUUAAUCUGUUGAUUUCAAAUCUUGUACUUCAAUUUUUUAACAUGCAUUUUACUGUAUAAAGGAGGACUAUAAAGUGUGUUUUUAUUUUUGUCGUCGUUAUCGUUAACAGAUGUAU
Long non-coding RNA from Bradysia coprophila, 189 nucleotides. The record is from RefSeq and is a predicted model, not a curated record. Lineage: Eukaryota; Metazoa; Arthropoda; Insecta; Diptera; Sciaridae.